RNAcentral lists this ribosomal RNA (477 nucleotides) under Bacillus sp. SRB_28. RNAcentral describes it as "bacterial LSU rRNA". It matches the Rfam family "Bacterial large subunit ribosomal RNA", at positions 764 to 1240 of the family's 2925-position model. The record is from RNAcentral. Lineage: Bacteria; Bacillati; Bacillota; Bacilli; Caryophanales; Bacillaceae.
GGGUGGAGGGCGGAGCCCACGCACGGUGAGAAGUGCGGGGAUGGGGUGUGGGUAGCGGAGAAAUUCCAAUCGAACUUGGAGAUAGCUGGUUCUCUCCGAAAUAGCUUUAGGGCUAGCCUCACGUAGUUAGAGUCUUGGAGGUAGAGCACUGUUUGGACUAGGGGCCCUCAUCGGGUUACCGAAUUCAGACAAACUCCGAAUGCCAUAGACUUACUUCCGGGAGUCAGACAGUGAGUGCUAAGAUCCAUUGUCAAAAGGGAAACAGCCCAGACCAUCAGCUAAGGUCCCCAAGUGUGUGUUAAGUGGGAAAGGAUGUGGAGUUGCACAGACAACCAGGAUGUUGGCUUAGAAGCAGCCAUCAUUGAAAGAGUGCGUAAUAGCUCACUGGUCGAGUGACUCUGCGCCGAAAAUGUAACGGGGCUAAACACACCACCGAAGCUAUGGCUUGAUGCUUUGCAUCAGGGGUAGGGGAGCGUU